AACUAUAACGGUCCUAAGGUAGCGAAAUUCCUUGUCAGGUAAGUUCUGACCCGCAUGAAAGGCGUAAUGAUUUGGGCACUGUCUCAACAGCCCGCCCGGCGAAAUUGUAGUACCGGUGAAGAUGCCGGUUACCCGCGACAAGACGGAAAGACCCCAUGGAGCUUUACUGUAGCCUAAUAUUGGGUUUCGAUGUUGCAUGCACAGGAUAGAUGGGACACUGGGAAACAAUCGCUUUGGCGUUUGCGGAGUGGCCGUUGGGAUACCAUCCUUGCGAUAUUGGAAUUCUAACCUGCGGCUCUGAAUCGAGUCGGGGGACAUUGUUAGGUGGGCAGUUUGACUGGGGCGGUCGCCUCCUAAAGAGUAACGGAGGCGUUCAAAGGUUCGCUCAGCUUGAACGGAAAUCAAGCAAAAGAGUGCAAACGCAGAAGCGAGCCUAACUGCGAGACUGACGGGUCGAGCAGUAACGAAAGUUGGAGUUAGUGAUCCGGUGGUAUGUGAGUGGAAAUGCCAUCGCUCAACGGAUAAAAGCUACCCUGGGGAUAACAGGCUGAUCUCCCCCAAGCGUCCACAGCGACGGGGAGGUUUGGCACCUCGAUGUCGGCUCGUCACAUCCUGGGGCUGAAUUCGGUCCCAAGGGUUCGGCUGUUCGCCGAUUAAAGUGGCACGCGAGCUGGGUUCAGAACGUCGUGAGACAGUUCGGUCCCUAUCUGUUGCGGGCGUAAGAGAUUUGAAGGGAGCUGUCCUUAGUACGAGAGGACCGGGAUGGACGUACCUCUGGUGCACCAGUUGUCCUGCCAAGGGCAUAGCUGGGUAGCUAUGUACGGACGAGAUAAACGCUGAAAGCAUCUAAGCGUGAAACUCCCCCUAAGAUGAGAUCUCUCAUCCUUCAAGGAGUAAGGACCCAGAAAGACGAUCUGGUUGAUAGGCCGAAGGUGGAAGCGCAGUAAUGUGUGCAGCUGAUCGGUACUAAUAGUCCGAGGGCUUGACCUA
Molecule: ribosomal RNA, 990 nt
Filed under: human gut metagenome
Description: bacterial LSU rRNA
Rfam family: Bacterial large subunit ribosomal RNA
Source: RNAcentral